This 3450-nucleotide long non-coding RNA is filed under the name Citrus sinensis (sweet orange). RNAcentral describes it as "long non-coding RNA (CSIN_LNC003966)". Lineage: Eukaryota; Viridiplantae; Streptophyta; Magnoliopsida; Sapindales; Rutaceae. The record is from RNAcentral.
CUCCAACCCUGUCUUCUGCCACCGCCUAAGUCUUACUCGUAAACCAAUCACAGGCCUUUUUGUUCAUCGUUUUGCUCUCCAAGUCAGUAAUCCUGAAUAUGACUUCAUCAACCUUGAUUCCAAUCCCCCUAGUCCUCCCUUCAGAACUCUCACCUUUGUUAAUACUUCAUAUGGAAUCCAAAUCCUGCAAUCUUGUAAUGGUCUAUUACUAUGUAGCAGCGGACACAGCAACUACUAUGUUUAUAAUCCCACUACUAAGCAAUACAGGAUACUUCCUCAACCCCGCAUUGGCAGAGGAGUUUCUAGAUCAAUUUUUGGUGUUAACUUAGCAUUUGAUCCUUCAAAAUCAUCUGAUUACAAAGUCAUCUACGUAGGAGCUUGUGAUUCUUUUCUUGGUGGCCUGCUUCAUAUGGAGAUUUACUCAUCAGAAACAAGUGACUGGAGAUAUGGAGGUACUUUAACAGCACCAAGUGGUAUAAAUUUCAAUACUGGUGUAUUCUGGAAUGGUGCCAUUAAUUGGGUAAGUUCUUCUGAAACUUCUUUAUAUUUUGACAUUGAUCAAGAGAAACUGCAAGAAAUGCCAAUGCCUCCUGUUCCUGAUGGAUGGGAUAGCGGGAUUUAUCAAUACUUUGGAGAGUCUGGAGGCCAUUUGCUUCUUAUUGAUCUUUGUGGUGCCUCUCCCUUCGUAGUUCAUGAAAUGAGGACAGACUAUUCCGGUUGGUUUGUGAAGCAUCGUGUUGAUCUGGGUGGGGUUGCAGCUGCAUUUCCUGAGAUGAUUAGGACUUAUCUUGAUCCAGAAGACUCGCACUAUUAUGGGUAUUCGCUACUAGGUGUUGAAAGCGAGGAGAAUGAUGAUGACUCAUAUUUGUUAUUGCACCUGCCUAAUAAGGUAGUGCAUUAUGAUUUCAAGGAUAAGACUUUCAAUAAACUUGUUGACGUUGCUCCAGAUGGCAACCAAGCUGCAGAUGCAAGUUCAUUGCAGUAUCGAUGGUUUGGUGCUUUUCAGUACUAUCAAUGUCUUGCUUGUGUGUGAUGAUAUCUCUGCUCAAAAAGAUUAUUAGGUUAGGCCAAUAUGGAUUUAGCUAUUAUCCUUGUAUUGGUUUCAGGCUUGAAAUUCAACAUGUAUGUUCUGUCAAAAUACAAAUUAAGGUGAUAAUCAAUCUGUUUGUAAUCCUCGAAAUAUUUUCAAUCCAAAAUCUUGCUUGAAAUCAGAGUCUUGGUGGUUCAUUGUAAUCGUCAAGAUGUCUUUUUUUUUUUUUUUCACGCUGGAGAAACCUUUGAGCUUGUUGACAAUUCAGGAACUGAACUUUUCUUCUAGCCUAAGAACAUCCAAGAAUUUGCUUGUACUAUUAGCCAUUUUAGAUGACGAACCUCAAAGCCCAUGAGGUCUGUUGUACUUCAGUUUGAUCAAUGUAAUAGCCUAUAAAAUCGAUUCUAGUCCUAAAGACCCAGUCCAAUCUAUGAGGUCAAAGUCAUGGCGAACAAUUAAUACAAUUUUUUUAAAAUCAUUAACAAAAAUAGCUAAGCAUGGAUGGAAAUCAAUGUAAAGGUAAAAACUUGAAAGUCAAUAGCUAUGGGCAACAAUUAACACAAUAUUUAUAAAAUUGUUAGCAAAAAUGGCUAAGCAUGCAUGCAAAUCAAUGUAAAGCUGACAGUCGGUCUAGGUGAUGAUUAAAACAAUGUUUAUGAAACUGAAAACAAAAAUGACUAGGUAUGCAUUAAAUUUAAAUACAAGCACGCAUAAAAUAAAUGCAAAUGAAGAUAUAAAGCUUGUAAAUAUCAAGCUUCACAAGUCAUUCAGGCAUCCAUCUAUCCUUUUAGUUAAGCAAGCCAAGAGAUAAUUAAAAGUUAGUUAAGAGCAUUUCCAAAAACUAUUUUUUCUUCGAAAAUAUAUUUUCUACAUUCAAUCUGAAUAUAUUUCAAAAAUAAUUUGGAAAAAAAACACUUUCAGUAUUAUUCCAAAUAUAAUUUUUUAAUAUUCUUCCAAAAACAUUUAUAGAAAACAUUUUCAGAAUUCUUCAAACAAAAAUAGUUCCAAAACAUUUCCUCAAAUAUUUUUCAAACACAUUUCAAUAUUUAUUUUCCAAAAAUAUUCUAUUUUCUCACAUUUUCCCUAAUUAAACUUUUUAGACUAUAGCAAUUAUAGAACAUUAAUAUUAAGUUACUGAUUUUUCAUUAUUCACUGGUGUAUUUUGCUCCUACAUCACUAUCACAGCAGUUGCCAUUAUUAUUUAAGCCUAAAUCUAAACAUCAGCAAUAGUCAAAGUUGUAAUAAGAGUUUAUUUAGGUCACACCAAUACUUGAAUAUAUUUUUAAACUUUACUCUUUAGACCAUACAGUAUAAUCAAGCCGUAGCAGACUGCUAAGCCUGAAUUUCUAAUCAAGUCCAAUUUUAUUUCAAUCGAGAAAGAGCCUAUCUUUAUAACACGUGACGUGGUGAAAUUUCCGGCCCCAAACAAUCAACACCUCCAAUCGGAAAAAUUUUGCAAAUCUUUCUCAGUUUUUGAGUAAUUAAUUUCAAUUCUCAUAUACCACUGUGAUUUGAUGAUUGCUUUGAUAAUUUUGACACCGAUAUACGAAAGUGCUAGGAGAGUUUCAUUGCUUCAAUGUAACUGAAGCUCACAGAACAUCAGGAAACAAAAAAAUCAAAUUGGUUGUAUGAUGCUAAAAGUAAUUGCUUGCAUGGUUCAUAAGUGAUCGGGAUUUCCUGUUCAGCAAAUUGACUAUUUGGUGGGGAUGAAUAGAUGCUUUUAUCUUUUUACUCUUACUGCCUUGUGUGAAAUUUCAGAAGAACUUACCCAAAAAAGAAAAACAAGUAAUGACUCGGUCAAGAUUCUGUAUUUGUUUAUACAGUCAACAAUACUGCUAGCAAGAGGCUUUAGCUUGCUUCAGCUGUGGAAGGCAGACUUGACUUCAAAGAUAAGAUUUCUUUUAGUUGCUUGGUCUGAGUCAGCGGCGGAGGUCAUAUAAAAAUAUUUCCACUUCUCUAGAAAACAAAGGCAAGCAAAAAUCCACCCUUAAUUUUCUCACCAUGCCAUCAACCAUAACAACCAUCACAAACUCAAUCAUAACAUUCACCUCCUCUUCUCACAAUUAUCAGCAAUCACCGUCUGAAGUGAUUGCGAACUUGGAUGACCUUUUAACUGAAAUACUUAUUCGCCUUCCAAUCAAAUCCCUGCUCAAAUUCAAAUCCGUAUCCAAACACUGGCUCUCCCUCAUCUCCAAUCCUUUCUUCUGCCGCCGCCUAAGUCUUAUUCGUAAGCCAAUCACGGGCCUCUUUGUUGAUCGUGUAGCUCUAAAAGUCAAUAAUCCUGAAUAUGACUUCAUCAACCUUGAUUCCAAUCCCUCUAGUCCUCCCUUCAGAACUCUUACCUUUGUUAAUGAUUCAUAUGGGAUCCAAAUCUUGCAAUCUUGUAAUGGUCUAUUAUUAUGCAGCGGGGGACACGGCAA